CUACGGGUUGCUCCAGUGAGGAAUAUUGCACAAUGGGGGGAACCCUGAUGCAGCAACGCCGCGUGGAGGAUGACGCAUUUCGGUGUGUAAACUCCUUUUAUAUGUCAAGAAAAUGACGGUAGCAUAUGAAUAAGCACCGGCUAACUCCGUGCCAGCAGCCGCGGUAAUACGGAGGGUGCAAGCGUUACUCGGAAUCACUGGGCGUAAAGGACGCGUAGGCGGGCUUGUAAGUCAGGUGUGAAAUCCUACAGCUUAACUGUAGAACUGCACUUGAAACUUCUAAUCUAGAGUAUGGGAGGGGGAGAUGGAAUUAGUGGUGUAGGGGUAAAAUCCGUAGAUAUCACUAGGAAUACCUAAAGCGAAGGCGAUCUCCUGGAACAUUACUGACGCUAAGGCGUGAAAGCGUGGGGAGCAAACAGGAUUAGAUACCCGCGUAGUC
Molecule: ribosomal RNA, 439 nt
Filed under: uncultured bacterium
Lineage: Bacteria
Description: partial 16S ribosomal RNA
Rfam family: Bacterial small subunit ribosomal RNA
Source: RNAcentral